RNAcentral lists this long non-coding RNA (2037 nucleotides) under Theobroma cacao (cacao). RNAcentral describes it as "long non-coding RNA (TCAC_LNC003851)". Lineage: Eukaryota; Viridiplantae; Streptophyta; Magnoliopsida; Malvales; Malvaceae. The record is from RNAcentral.
CCGGCCAUAGCAAGAACAAAGGGAGAAAAGAAAGAACAAGAACCCUAGGGUGAAAAUUCAAGAGAAAAAUUGAUGGAUUUCAAGUAAUCAAGCAAUCAAAGGUAAAAUUUCUUGAUUUUGACUUGUGAUCUACCUUUCCCAUGCAUUCUUUUGCAUUUUUCAUGGUUGAGAAUCAAGUUUUCAUGAUGAAUCCCUUGUUGUCUGAACACCUAGGAGAGAGAAUUUGAUGAUGAUUUGGUUAGAUUUUAAUGUAUUUUGGUGUUUUUAGUUAGUUAGUGAUGUGUAGCAUGAAAAGCCAACAAGAAAAAUUCAUUUUCUCUCAUUACCCAUCAUUGGCCGAAUUUUCCUCGUAGAGUGUGGAUGGUAGAUUUGAUUUUAUUUCAAGUGAAUUGGUUAGGAAAUGAUGAAUUAUGGUGAGAAAAUCAAGUAGAAAAAAUCAUGGUGUUGAUUCACCCACCAUGGCCGAAAUUCUCAAGAGAAAACGUGGAGAUGAUUUUGCUAAAUUUUAUGCUAUUUGACUUGUGUUUGAGGAUUUGGAGAAUUGGAAGAAAAAUGGAGUUAAUUGGUGUUGAAUUGGACAUAUUGGCCAAUUAAUCGAGUGAUAGAUCGAAUUAGGCCAAUACCGUAUUAUUUAGGUACACAAUUAAAUUUGUGUAGAACACUGUGUGUAGACAAUAAUCCGAACAAUUUGCAUCCCAUUUCAUACAUUAGUAUAAAGCCUGAAUUGGUUUUAUAACAAUUUAGCACAAUGUAUUAAAUGGCUUAUUGUGCAUUAUGUCUAGGUGGUGAGCAUUCUGGCAAAAGUAAAGAGAUAGUACCGGAGGAUCAAGAAUCGGAGUACAUGGAAUUCGACUCUCGAAAUAGUGAGUAACCUUACUAUCGUCUUAAUUAUCUAAAGUGGUUUUUAUCCGAUUUUGUGAUUUUAUGGAAAAUGAGUUUAAAUGGUAAAUUUUUAUGUUUUAUAAACAAAAUGUGUUUAAACGAAAUGAUUUUAUAAAUUGUCUUGAAAUUGAAUGAUGGCUUUGAAAAUAGAGUAAUUGGAGACCAUUUGAUGUAUUGUGAAUUUAUGUUUCUAAUUGAUUGGCUUAUGAUAAUAUUGGCAUGAAUGGUUGAAUUGGAAAAUGUGUUGAAAAUGUAUGAAUUGUUGAUGUGCCUUGAAAGGCUAUAAAAUAAAAUAAUUGUCAUAUCAUGUUAUUAAAUUUUAUUGAUUGGUGGGAUAAUUAUUAGCUUACUGCAGUAGACAAGUUCUGUGGACCAACCUAUUAGAAGGGCACGGAAUCUCGUUAUAUUUUACCUCGGUUGGAGAGGUGAGUAGAGUAACUCCCAAGGUAUAACUUUUAGAGUUCACUUCACGCCAAACCACCACGUGAGGGGGAACUCAGCCAACGCCAAGGAACGGCUAUGUUUUCAAAAUAAAAACAUGAUUUAUGCGUAAGUAACUUUUUAAUAGCCUUGGCGGACUCGGUUGGGAUAGCCCACGAUCAAGGCAUCCCUAAUAAUUGGGUAUGAGAAUGAUUUUGGCACGAGCCAAAGUUUUAAGAAAUUCGUAAGCCAUGUUGAUUACUCAAUUUAUAUGAAUUGAUUUUAUUUGGUUGAAAUGAGUUGAAAGGUUAUAAAUUACAAUAUGAUGAUUUAUUUUAUCUGUUUCCAUUUACUCGACUUUAGAUAUUUUAGAUGGUAUUUGUUUACUCACUGGGAUUAUAUAAUCUCACCACCCUCCUUUCCACCCCUUUCAGGCUCAAGAUAGUCGGUAGAUAGCUCAUUUCGUUGAGGGCUACAAUUGGACUUGCAUUCUCAAAAAUUAUAGGUUCACAGUCUUUCUUACUUUUGGUUAUUUGUGGGCCCACAUGUCACUGUAAAUUAAAUUAUAUUUUGGUUAUCUGUAUUACAAUAUGUAUGAAUUUAUUUAGUUUUUACGCUACAAAAAUUAUUUACCAGUAACUCUUUAAAUAUUGUUUGAUAAGAAAUAGAAUGUUUUAUUGAAUAUUUUUAUUAUAUUCAAAUUGUCAUAAUUUCAUUUUUAAAUGAAGGUUUCAG